UGAAGCUUCUAGCUUGCUAGAAGUGGAUUAGUGGCGCACGGGUGAGUAAGGUAUAGUUAAUCUGCCCUACACAAGAGGACAACAGUUGGAAACGACUGCUAAUACUCUAUAUUCCUGCUUAACACAAGUUGAGUAGGGAAAGUUUUUCGGUGUAGGAUGAGACUAUAUAGUAUCAGCUAGUUGGUAAGGUAAUGGCUUACCAAGGCUAUGACGCUUAACUGGUCUGAGAGGAUGAUCAGUCACACUGGAACUGAGACACGGUCCAGACUCCUACGGGAGGCAGCAGUAGGGAAUAUUGCGCAAUGGGGGAAACCCUGACGCAGCAACGCCGCGUGGAGGAUGACACUUUUCGGAGCGUAAACUCCUUUUCUUAGGGAAGAAUUCUGACGGUACCUAAGGAAUAAGCACCGGGCUAACUCCGUGCCAGCAGCCGCGGUAAUACGGAGGGUGCAAGCGUUACUCGGAAUCACUGGGCGUAAAGGGCGCGUAGGCGGAUUAUCAAGUCUCUUGUGAAAUCUAAUGGCUUAACCAUUAAACUGCUUGGGAAACUGAUAGUCUGGAGUGAGGGAGAGGCAGAUGGAAUUGGUGGUGUAGGGGUAAAAUCCGUAGAUAUCACCAAGAAUACCCAUUGCGAAGGCGAUCUGCUGGAACUCAACUGACGCUAAGGCGCGAAAGCGUGGGGAGCAAACAGGAUUAGAUACCCUGGUAGUCCACGCCCUAAACGAUGUACACUAGUUGUUGGGGUGCUAGUCAUCUCAGUAAUGCAGCUAACGCAUUAAGUGUACCGCCUGGGGAGUACGGUCGCAAGAUUAAAACUCAAAGGAAUAGACGGGGACCCGCACAAGCGGUGGAGCAUGUGGUUUAAUUCGAAGAUACGCGAAGAACCUUACCUGGGCUUGAUAUCCUAAGAACCUCUUAGAGAUAAGAGGGUGCUAGCUUGCUAGAACUUAGAGACAGGUGCUGCACGGCUGUCGUCAGCUCGUGUCGUGAGAUGUUGGGUUAAGUCCCGCAACGAGCGCAACCCACGUAUUUAGUUGCUAACGGUUCGGCCGAGCACUCUAAAUAGACUGCCUUCGUAAGGAGGAGGAAGGUGUGGACGACGUCAAGUCAUCAUGGCCCUUAUGCCCAGGGCGACACACGUGCUACAAUGGCAUAUACAAUGAGACGCAAUACCGCGAGGUGGAGCAAAUCUAUAAAAUAUGUCCCAGUUCGGAUUGUUCUCUGCAACUCGAGAGCAUGAAGCCGGAAUCGCUAGUAAUCGUAGAUCAGCCAUGCUACGGUGAAUACGUUCCCGGGUCUUGUACUCACCGCCCGUCACACCAUGGGAGUUGAUUUCACUCGAAGCCGGAAUACUAAACUAGUUAC
RNAcentral lists this ribosomal RNA (1365 nucleotides) under Campylobacter coli. Its description in RNAcentral is "bacterial SSU rRNA". It matches the Rfam family "Bacterial small subunit ribosomal RNA". The record is from RNAcentral. Lineage: Bacteria; Pseudomonadati; Campylobacterota; Epsilonproteobacteria; Campylobacterales; Campylobacteraceae.